CAAUAGCGUAUAUUAAAGUUGUUGCAGUUAGAACGCUCGUAGUCGGAUUUCGGGGCGGGUCGACCGGUCUGCCGAUGGGUACGCACUGGCCGACGCGUCCUUUUUGCCGGAGACCGUCCCUACUCUUAACUGAGCGGGGUCGGGAGACGGCACUUUUACUUUGAAAAAAUCAGAGUGUUUCAAGCAGGCAGCUCGCUCUUGCAUGGAUUAGCAUGGGAUAAUGAAAUAGGACUUUGGUGCUAUUUUGUUGGUUUCGAACACCGAAGUAAUGAUGAGAAGGGACAGUCAGGGGCACUCGUAUUCCGCCGAGAGAGGUGAAAUUCUCAGACCAGCAGAAGACGAACCACUGCGAAAGCAUUUGCCAGGGAUGUUUNCACUG
This 379-nucleotide ribosomal RNA is filed under the name uncultured eukaryote. RNAcentral's name for it is "partial 18S ribosomal RNA". It matches the Rfam family "Eukaryotic small subunit ribosomal RNA", at positions 592 to 975 of the family's 1831-position model. The record is from RNAcentral.